Long non-coding RNA from Papaver somniferum (opium poppy), 527 nucleotides. RefSeq lists it as uncharacterized. The transcript is spliced from 3 exons. Lineage: Eukaryota; Viridiplantae; Streptophyta; Magnoliopsida; Ranunculales; Papaveraceae. The record is from RefSeq and is a predicted model, not a curated record.
CCGACGUCUGUGAUCUCUUUUUUGCCAGAAAUCAGCAUUUCCUUCGCCUUCUCCUCCUACUGUUCUUCCAUUUCAGAAAAAUAAAACCCAUUAACACCACCAUUCAAUCCCUUUAAAUCAUACGUCAUGAAAACACCAUUAUGUUUCUUUACCAAUCCCUACUAAUAUUCGACUACAUAAACCCCCAAAAAAGUUAUCCUGUGCAGAUUCUCAAUGCUUACCUAUCCCCUUUCUCCUUUCAAAAUUCAUAAGCAUUGCCUGAUUUUGUUGUUGCAGAUUUUGGAGCACCACGGACUCAGGUUCACGGACCUGAAAUAAAUCCUACAACGAUUAAAACUGCAACAAGAAUGGUGCCUCAUUUUACCAAAAAUCAAGCAAGUGCAAUAGCUUUAGGCAUGUAAUCUUAACAUUGUUUAAAUCUUUCGGCAGAAAAUUCAAUGGUUCAAUCUAUCACUAAUCAAGCCAUAGCUGUAAUCAAUUGUUGGAUGUAAGAUGAGGUAUUUGUGAAAUUACUGUCAUUUGUGGUU